Chinchilla lanigera (long-tailed chinchilla) is the source of this 916-nucleotide long non-coding RNA. RefSeq lists it as uncharacterized. Lineage: Eukaryota; Metazoa; Chordata; Mammalia; Rodentia; Chinchillidae. The transcript is spliced from 3 exons. The record is from RefSeq and is a predicted model, not a curated record.
GGGUGCAAACCCCUGCUCCCCCGAGCCAGGGCUCACACCGGCUGGGUGAACACAGCCCGACGUGACCGUAAGGCUGGGCCGGAGCCUUGGCAACAGGGGAACAGCUCGAGAAACAGCGGCCCCGAGAGCUGGCUGCCGGCAGAAGCAGCAGCAGAAGCAGAGCACUCAGGAAAGGAGAAACCGAGACGUGUCGAUCGAUGCUGGAGAGCCACACUGUAACCAGAGAAAGGACAGGAGGCCACCAAGCAGUCGCUGACCUGGACCAGGGACGCUCCAGAAGUCACCCAGGAGUGGAAAAAUAUCGACGGUAACCUGGGCAUCGUGGAGCAGAACAGAAGGGAGAUAUGUUCAAGCCGGGUGGCAAGGGUAAGAGCAGUCUUUGCAAGGGAAGCCUCAGUGAUGGCGUGCCCCUGACAGUCAGGUUGGACGCGGUCGCUAAGGUGGCCAGGACCCCGGAGUCAUUCACAUGCGGGCUGCAGCGUGGGCCGGCUUCAAGUGCACACACGUUACGAGCUCUAAAGUCACAGCAAAUUUGAUUCUGUUUCUGCUCCCACCUGGUUAUUUUUUAAAGCAGGAACGCUGAGACCAGAGUGAUUGCUUCAAAAUCUGGGUCACCUGGGGACGAUGUCACUCCUGCCCGCCUCCACGGCCGCCGUCAGGACCCUCGCCCUGGGCGGGUGCUCAGGAAGCAUCUGCGGUGCCGGAGGCGAAGGCAGAGUCGGGACCGGCGGCGAGAGGAGACAUGGGUGAACAGGCCCAUGGGAUGAGGCAGGGGCCAGUCAGGAGCAGCCAGGCUACCCUGAAACAAACAGCCCCACACGUCAGAGGACCAAGACAAGGUUAUUUCUCAUUCCUGCUGCCUCCUCAAGGGUGUGAGGUGUACACUAAAACAUACAAAAAUAAACACAAACAAUGA